GGGGCCGUAGUGUAGUCUGGUCUAGCAUUCCCCUCUUCGGGUGGGAAGGCGCCGAAAUCACUCCAGCUCGGGGAGCUGGUAACUCGAGUUCAAAUCUCGGCGGCCCCA
This 108-nucleotide transfer RNA is filed under the name Candidatus Aenigmatarchaeota archaeon. Its description in RNAcentral is "tRNA-Pro". It matches the Rfam family "tRNA". From Rfam's summary of the family: Transfer RNA (tRNA) molecules are approximately 80 nucleotides in length. Their secondary structure includes four short double-helical elements and three loops (D, anti-codon, and T loops). The record is from RNAcentral. Lineage: Archaea; Nanobdellati; Candidatus Aenigmatarchaeota.